Molecule: long non-coding RNA, 564 nt
Organism: Daphnia pulicaria
Lineage: Eukaryota; Metazoa; Arthropoda; Branchiopoda; Diplostraca; Daphniidae
Exons: 2
Source: RefSeq, a predicted model, not a curated record
UUCUACUUGAAUAAAGAAAUCAGUCAGGAAUUGCCCAGCAACAUGAGGCUAUAAAUAGAACCGUCUGUUCUUCACGCGUGUAAUUCUGAUUCACGUGAGAAGAAACAAGGGAAUCUGGCUUCGUAGAUAUAAAACAGUUUUGUUUCCGCUUUGGUUUGUAUGCCGACGAUGCCGUUGCGGCAGGCCCUGGACCAUCCUUGCAAAUAGCCACCUUUGCUCCCGUCCCCUAGCAGUGUCUGUCCGUCGCUGCAAUUGCAGUUCAAAUUGUUGGCCGGAUUGUUUGCCCCGGAUCGUCGUUCCAGUUGUAAUUGGCACGAUGUUAAGAAUCUGCCAGACCGGCAAAAAUGUGGCUGACCCGAAAUCCCAGAAUCUCGACUAAUGAAAUCAAAACAUUCACAUUAGAUCCAUAGUACAAACCUGCAAUUAAAAUCUAAUUGAACACUCACGUUCCUGGAGGCGAGGUAAUCCUACUUCCACGUGUGCAAAUGAAAACAAUGGUCACAAGUCUUCUAGCACUUAAAUCCUCAAAUGCCAAUCGAAAUCCAACGGCCUUUUGACCUCGGG